Molecule: unclassified non-coding RNA, 3359 nt
Filed under: Neodiprion pinetum (white pine sawfly)
Lineage: Eukaryota; Metazoa; Arthropoda; Insecta; Hymenoptera; Diprionidae
Description: fork head domain-containing protein FD4-like, transcript variant X1
Source: RNAcentral
UUCGCCCGCGUGCCAUAAGCUUGAAGUGCGGAGUGCGCCGAGAGACGAAACUCCCCGAUACGAUUUUCGCGGGGCACGCGACCCCCUUGCGGUAAUUUAAUUGAUUCGCGAUAUCUGCGCGAAAAUAAUCAACGGACACUGUUGUACCUUGUAUAUUUCUCAGCGAGUAUCCCGUCGGACACGUUUUUCAGACUCGCUCUCACCGCCUUGCAAGCCGAUUAUUAUCCCACGCGUAGAAAGGCGCCCCGGCCUUGUUCUCUUCGUACCCACGCGAUUUUAUAACUCGUAAGAGACAGCAGCCGAGUGCGGCAGUGUGAUUACGUGCAGUUCUUCGUCCUUUGUUUAAGGUGAAGGAUACAAACGCGACAGCGGAUCGUCUCGUGCUUUUACGAAAAACGUAACAUUCGUGGUGUUUUUACAGCAUAAAGAAGAUCGUUCGAACGUUGAAAUUUUCCAAUUUUCCACCACUGUUCGAGCACCGAGUACAUGGGAUAUUUUAACGCUCGCCGAAAGCUAUCCGGCGUUUCUUUCGAGUGACAAUUUCACUUGGGGUCAGACCAACCAUCAGUGUAACGUACGUGCAGGUUGCAUGUGAACGGGUAAUUAAACCCCCGGGGUCAAAGAAUAUAAAAAUCGUUAAAGUUGGCCGUCGAGUAUCGUCAGUUCGGUUGUGACGGUGCAGCGCGCGGUUUUUACUCAGUGCGAGUCGAAUGAAUCCAGGUCGUGACUUGGCCAGGUUUAGCCACAGUUACAACCCGUCGAAGACGUGAAAAGGCGAGGAAACAAGGAAGGAAGUCUCUCAUCAAAAGGUGCCGGUCGUUCAAUCACCACCAUGUAACACUUCGCACGUUGUUUCAAAGUGUCUCUGCCCGAUUACUUCGCAAAAGAACAGGUCGUCCUGCAGACCUCGGCGUGCAGGAACCCCGCGCAAUAACCUAAAGACGAAGCGAAACCCGGAGUCAAAUUUCACCGUCAUAAGAUGAGGCGACCGAUCGCGGCGGCCGGAACGAGCUGGUAGAUCGUACACAUCGAUUCGGAAUAUCGUCAUCGGCGCGGUGGUGGAGGAAUAUCGGCAUCAGCGGGCGUAGCCGAAGAUAAAAUGCCAAGACCAUCGCGCGAGUCAUACGGCGAACAGAAGCCCCCCUACUCCUACAUCUCGCUUACGGCAAUGGCGAUAUGGUCAUCCCGUGAAAAGAUGCUACCACUCGCUGAGAUAUACAGGUUUAUUGCUGACCGAUUUCCGUACUACCGCCGGGACACGAGACGGUGGCAGAAUUCUCUGAGGCACAAUCUAUCGUUCAACGAUUGCUUCAUCAAGGUUCCCAGGGGUCCUCACACCCCGGGCAAAGGUGCCUACUGGGCGCUGCAUCCAGCGGCGUUAUCGAUGUUCGAGAACGGUUCGUUCCUCCGUCGUCGGAAGCGGUUUAAGCUCCCUAAGGCAGCGAAAGCCGAGAGCCAGGCGUUGGCUGAAACGGCGGCUAGGUUGGCUGCGACGAACAACUGCAGCGGGGCCGAGAGCUUCGGACCUUCGAUUUCGGACAACAAUUCCGGAUCAUUCCACCAUCACCAAGGAAUCAGCCUCACGCAGAGGCAGAUCGACUUCCUCCAGGCGACUUCGAGCUUGGCGGGUCUUCACACCCUUUAUCCUGUCGCUAGAGACCAACGAGCCAUCUCCCUACCACCCGAGUAUCACACUCCUCCAAGGAGCGAGUUCUCCACCGGGUACAACGUCAAGGAGUUUGGCACCUUGGCCCAGUCCGGCACGACUAUUCUUCCCGGCACUGAUUCCGACUCCAGGAUUCUACCCAAACGACCGAAGCCGCUCAAUCCGGCCCACAAAUCUUUCAGCAUCGAGAGCAUCAUUGAGUCCUCGACGGAUUCAACCGCGAGUCGGUCUUCCAGGACAGCGGGACUGUCGAGCCUGAACCCGCUCCUCUCGACCUCGACGUCGGUCGGACUUCUACCGCCGUGGUGCGGACCCAGCAUCUACACCUCAGGUAUGACGACGUCGCCCAGUGUCUACCCUUUGCACCUUCACCAGGCAGCCGCCGUUUACGCCACGGCUUUGGCCACGGCGAACCUCUUUGGUUCUCAUUCGGGACUCCAGGGACCCGGGAAGACAUCGUCGAGCUCUGCACCGACUCCGGCGUCCACCGCGUCCCUCUACGGCCUUUACGCUGCCGGAUUUCCCGCUAUGCUUGGACUCGGUCCUGCCGCUCCUAUUCCUGACACUACCCUCGGCCUAUCGGUGCCCCAUCCCAUCAGUCUCCCACCGACCCCCACGACAUCCCCGACCAUUCUUGCCCUACCCCAACCACCCCGUGGUCCGGACAGCUCGACGACCUCCAGUUACAGUCAGGGUCAAUCUUGCAGAGAUUUGGCGUCCACGUAGUAGCAUGACUACGUUUGUUGCGGACUUGUAACUUGAAUUGGGCGAGACACCGAAGUUGGAGACACGAAAAUGGUUACCAGACACAAUUAGGGUUACGAGUGUAGUCCCGUAUUUUGCUCGAUGCAUUAAGCGAUUUUGGUACUUGAAGACAUUCUUCCGUUUGAAGACAAUGGAAGCCCGUUGGAUUUUCGAAAACCAUCGGUUCUUUUAUUUUCCUCCAAUUCCUUUACUCCUGGUCGAUUUCUCCGCACUGGCGGAUGUUCCAAUCCAGUCCUUGUUCAGAAUGCGAUACGCGCUUAUAGUACCUAUCCAUUUUUCUUCGCUCCGGGUCAUGUGCGCAAUUGCAGUCGUUGAUGCUGUUCGGACUCGACGGUGAGACUGAGUCACGUGCAGAAAUACUUCCAGAUUACAGAGCGAGUGCUGCUCCGUGUUUCCUCAGGCUUCUUAGCUUCCCGAGGCGUUUGUGGGAAAUUCUAAACAUUCGUCAAGGCUCGUUAAGAGAUACUUUCAAGGGAAGUUGAGCCCUGGUUUCGGUCCUUCGAGAACUCGUCUCCAGUUCAUAACGAGCAAUCUUUGAACAUUGACUCUCCGCGGCAUGUGACGCGGAUCAGGAUUGGAUGGUUUAAGAGAACUUGGAUCUAAUACCAGGUAGUGAAUCCCGGCGGUAUUCUUGCAGGCCAGUUUACGACUAUGGGAACGGGUUAAAAAUCGGCGUGCCAAUUUGCCGGGAGCAGGUAUAAGGCAUAGAGACUUUACGGAGCGUCAGUUGAGGAAUAUCAGCAACGCGCUGCGAUAUCAAUUAUCGUUACUUAGCAGUAAAGCGCACCGGCAGCCAAUAGAAGGUUGCACCGCGCGCGCUGAGGAAGAAAAGAAGUAGAGGAAAUUAAAGGAAGCCCGCGAAAAUGAAACGCAGCAAUGAGAGAGGAACUGGAGGAACAAAGGAGGGAGAGGAGAUCGCGAAGAGCGU